AUGAACUCCUUAGCGAAGGAGAAAGAUGACGAAAUCAAAGAACUCAAAAAUCGCCAACCUGAGAUCGCUAGUCUGAAGCACAAGUGUGCCUCUUCCUUAUCAAAUGAGACUAGUAAAAAGCGCAGGACGGAUAUCAUUGGAAUGCAUAUAGCUUCUAUUCGGCGAUGCAAGUCCGGCAGACAGUGUUUUGGACGUCGCACAAUGCAAAUCUUAGUCAAGACCACAAAUAGCAGGACCUACACUCUUAAGGUGAAGAGUUCAAAUAAGAUCGAGGAUGUCGAGGCUAAAAUGCAUGAUCACCAUCUAGAUGUGCAGGGUCUUAUCUUUGCUGGCAAGAAGCUGGUGUAUGGCCGCACCCUGGCAGAUUACAACAUUAAGAAUCUGAGCACCCUACAGCUUGUCCUUCACCUGCGUAUUUCUGUCAAGACGCUGACUGGCAAAAUCAUUGAUCUUGCGGUUAAGAGUUCAGAUACCAUCAAGCACGUCAAGGCGAUGAUUCAGAGUCAGGAGAACAUUCCUUGGGAUAAGCAGGGUCUCAUCUUUGCCGGCAAGCGGCUGGAGGAUGGCCCCACCCUGGCAGAUUACAACAUUGAGACUUUGUGCACCUUUGAGCUUGUCCCUUUCCUGCAUGUGACAGUCAAGAUGCUGAACGGCGAGAGCAUUGAUCUUGCGGUUUUGAGUUCAGAUACAAUCGAGGAUAUCAAGGCGAUGGUUUAUGAUCAGGAGGGCAUUCCUUCGUACAUGCAGCGCUUCAUCUUUGCCGGCAAGCUGCUCGAGGAUUACCGUACCCUGGCGGACUACAACAUUCAUAAGUUGUGGGAGUGCGCGCUUCACCUUGUGACGUGCAUCGGAAGGAAUAGUGCGAUUCACAUCAAGAUGCUGACUGGCAAGACCAUUUUUCCUGCGGUUGGCAUUAAAGACACGAUUGAGGAUGUCAAGGCGAUGAUUCACAAGGAGGAGGGGAUUCCCCCAUCCCAGCAGUGCCUCUUCUUUGCUGGGAAGCCACUGCACAAUGACCGCACCCUGGAGAGCUACAUCAGCGGGGAUUUGAACGUCAUCGCCAUUCACCUUCUGCAUCGGCGCGCGCUGCUGCAUCGCUGGAUUGUGGACAGGGCGCGCAGGCUGCGGAACAAGCAGGAACUUGGGCACGGCUGUCUGUAA
RNAcentral lists this ribosomal RNA (1161 nucleotides) under Triticum aestivum (bread wheat). Its description in RNAcentral is "partial small subunit ribosomal RNA". Lineage: Eukaryota; Viridiplantae; Streptophyta; Magnoliopsida; Poales; Poaceae. The record is from RNAcentral.